Molecule: transfer RNA, 71 nt
Filed under: Candidatus Jorgensenbacteria bacterium
Lineage: Bacteria; Candidatus Joergenseniibacteriota
Description: tRNA-Gln
Rfam family: tRNA
About the family: Transfer RNA (tRNA) molecules are approximately 80 nucleotides in length. Their secondary structure includes four short double-helical elements and three loops (D, anti-codon, and T loops). Further hydrogen bonds mediate the characteristic L-shaped molecular structure. tRNAs have two regions of fundamental functional importance: the anti-codon, which is responsible for specific mRNA codon recognition, and the 3' end, to which the tRNAs corresponding amino acid is attached (by aminoacyl-tRNA synthetases). tRNAs cope with the degeneracy of the genetic code in two manners: having more than one tRNA (with a specific anti-codon) for a particular amino acid; and 'wobble' base-pairing, i.e. permitting non-standard base-pairing at the 3rd anti-codon position.
Source: RNAcentral
UGGGGGGUCGUCUAACGGUCGGACAGCGGCCUUUGAAGCCGUGAAUCGGGGUUCGAUUCCCUGCCCCCCAG